AAAGGCAGCAAGUAUUACUCAACAAAAAAGGGGCUAAGAUUCAACCCCCCUUCUCUUAGCCACUGAUUACCAUCAAUUGAAUAAACAAAAUUGAAA
Molecule: non-coding RNA, 96 nt
Organism: Arachis ipaensis
Lineage: Eukaryota; Viridiplantae; Streptophyta; Magnoliopsida; Fabales; Fabaceae
Source: RefSeq, a predicted model, not a curated record